UGUAUUCCAUUCCAUUCCCAAAAUGUCAAUCUAAAACUCCUGAUAUAAUUUUCAGAGAUAUUACCAACCUGUAAUUCCCCAACUCCUGACUAUCCAAUCAAAAUGUUGCUUCUCAAUCAUAAGCACAAUAGUUUACAAAGAUAUUUUGUGUAAAGUAAAAAAUAAAUCUAAAUACUAUAUGCCACCAGUUUCUGUAGUUUGACUUUAUAUUCUUUUCAAAAUAAUUUCAGUAGGCAUAUCUAUUCAUUCAAAAGUAUAUGUUAAGAUGCAUAAUAAUUUAUAUACUCUUCACUUGCUGCAGGACAAAGAUACUCUAUGUAUGUCAUACUAUAAAAGAGGUAAUUUAGCAUAUAUAUAAGAAAAUCACAGAUUUUGUAAUAUAUUAGAGAAUAAUUACUUUUGACAGCCAUUACAUUUACUCAAAAUAGUGAAUAAUUUCCAUAGUAUAUGAGUCAGGAGAAAUCCAGCAGUUGAAAUUUGCAGAAUUCUCAAUCUAAUUACAUUUAAAUAUAAAUGGUAAAUUAAUGCUUAUUCAAAGAACAACAUGAAAGAAUAUGCUAACAAUGACUAGGUGAUACAUUUAUUAACUCUCCCUCACUAGUGUGGGCACUGUGCCCACGUAGGGUAUGUUCUGGAAAUACAGCGUGAUCCUGUAGCUUCAGAUUC
This 666-nucleotide long non-coding RNA is filed under the name Homo sapiens (human). RNAcentral's name for it is "non-protein coding lnc-SLITRK6-19:1". The record is from RNAcentral. Lineage: Eukaryota; Metazoa; Chordata; Mammalia; Primates; Hominidae.